GUUUUAUAAAAAUUAUGUAUAAAAUUAGGCCUGCACACUGUGUAAAAUGAAGAGCCGCGGUAUAUUGACUGUGCAAACAGGUAGCAUAAUCAUUAGUCUCUUAAUUGGGGGAUGGAAUGAAAGGUUUCACGAAAAAUCGUUAUUUUCUUAAUAUUAAUAAUAGAAAUUUAUUUUUUAGUUAAAAAGCUAAAAUGAAAAGUAAAGGGACGAGAAGACCCUAUAGAUUUUUAUAUAAUUUAAAUUAAAUGAAUAAAAUAAGAAAACCUUUAUUAGUAUAAAUUAUAUUUAGUUGGGGUGACGUGAAGAAUAAUAAAACUCUUUAUUGCAAAAAUAACAAAGAUAAAUGGAGUAUUGAUCCAGUAAAAUUAUUGAUUAGAAGAAUAAAAUCCACCUUAGGGAUAACAGCGUAAUUAUUUUCUGGAGUACAAAUUUACAAAAUAGAUUGCGAC
Molecule: ribosomal RNA, 449 nt
Filed under: Tridactylus sp. chinensis
Lineage: Eukaryota; Metazoa; Arthropoda; Insecta; Orthoptera; Tridactylidae
Description: partial 16S ribosomal RNA
Source: RNAcentral